GUUGAUGACAUCACCAGUCUAUAUAAAAAGGCAGGAUAUUAAAGGAUUUGUUCAAUCUGAAAUGACACCCUCUAUAGGGCCGUACGUUGGAGCAGGAGAGCACCAUGAAAGGGGACGUUAUUUAGGACAUUAUUUCUGUCUGUAUAAAAUCGGAACCAGUGAUUUGCCAGUUACAACAGGAAAUGAGAGGCAGUAUUAAUGUGAUUGGUCAGUUAUAACAGGAAACAAGACAGUAUUAACGUGAUUGGCCAGUUACAACAGGAAAUGAGACAGUAUUAAUGUGAUUGGCCAGUUAUAACAGGAAAUGAGGCAGUAUUAAUGUGAUUGGUCAGUUACAACAGGAAAUAAAACCGGCAGCAUCAAAACGUAUUGAUUAUCAAUGAUUGUCCUCGUAGAGGAAGAAUGGUAGAUAGGGAGGAGGGGGGUUGAUGCUGA
Molecule: long non-coding RNA, 435 nt
Organism: Oncorhynchus tshawytscha (Chinook salmon)
Lineage: Eukaryota; Metazoa; Chordata; Actinopteri; Salmoniformes; Salmonidae
Source: Ensembl